AUGAACGCUGGCGGCGUGCCUAAUUCAUGCAAGUCGAGCGAACAGACGAGGAGCUUGCUCCUCUGACGUUAGCGGCGGACGGGUGAGUAACACGUGGAUAACCUACCUAUAAGACUGGGAUAACUUCGGGAAACCGGAGCUAAUACCGGAUAAUAUAUUGAACCGCAUGGUUCAAUAGUGAAAGACGGUUUUGCUGUCACUUAUAGAUGGAUCCGCGCCGCAUUAGCUAGUUGGUAAGGUAACGGCUUACCAAGGCGACGAUGCGUAGCCGACCUGAGAGGGUGAUCGGCCACACUGGAACUGAGACACGGUCCAGACUCCUACGGGAGGCAGCAGUAGGGAAUCUUCCGCAAUGGGCGAAAGCCUGACGGAGCAACGCCGCGUGAGUGAUGAAGGUCUUCGGAUCGUAAAACUCUGUUAUUAGGGAAGAACAAAUGUGUAAGUAACUAUGCACGUCUUGACGGUACCUAAUCAGAAAGCCACGGCUAACUACGUG
RNAcentral lists this ribosomal RNA (496 nucleotides) under uncultured bacterium. Its description in RNAcentral is "partial 16S ribosomal RNA". It matches the Rfam family "Bacterial small subunit ribosomal RNA", at positions 29 to 507 of the family's 1533-position model. The record is from RNAcentral.